CAUUGUGCUCCUACAUCAGCCGGAACACACUCCAUCUUGUCUGAUUUGGGGAGCCAAGCAGGGUCAGCCUGAUUAAUACCCAACUGGCAGACCACCAGGGAUUACUAGGGAUCUCUACGU
Molecule: ribosomal RNA, 120 nt
Filed under: Pogona vitticeps (central bearded dragon)
Lineage: Eukaryota; Metazoa; Chordata; Lepidosauria; Squamata; Agamidae
Source: RNAcentral